UAUAGCUGGAGUUAAGGGGACCAUGUUGAAGCAUGCAGGGGCUAGCAGUUGUUGGAUGCUGAUACCAUUUCAGGCUUGAAGAAUCAGGAAGAGGAAAUAGUGUUAAGAGAACAUAAUAAGAGCUGCAACCAUGGAGAAUGAGCUGCUCAUAAGGGAUUGCAGUCAUGGAUAGAAGCAGCCACUGCCAGAGAUGUGAUUUGAAGCAGAAGGAAGAGGGGACUUCUUUCUCAGGUGACCCCAGCUCUCAAGAUCCCUCGCUGUGAAAGCCAGGGGAAGACUGAAAAAACUCAUCCUGUGGAAGGGUAAAGAAAUGAUAAAAUGAAGUGUGCUUCCACUCCCAAGAGCACCGACCACACGUUUCCUCAAAAUGCUGAAAGAGUUUAAGCUUUCACAGAUGUUGUGUCUCAAAGCACCAGAACAAUGCCUUGAGCAUGUGAAGAACUUAAUAUAUGACUGCUGAGCAACUGGAUUCUGGAAAUAAGUAAAGUAAUAAUGACAUAAAA
Suricata suricatta (meerkat) is the source of this 503-nucleotide long non-coding RNA. RefSeq lists it as uncharacterized. The transcript has 3 exons. The record is from RefSeq and is a predicted model, not a curated record. Lineage: Eukaryota; Metazoa; Chordata; Mammalia; Carnivora; Herpestidae.